GAUGAACGCUGGCGGCGUGCUUAACACAUGCAAGUCGAACGGGAAACCUUUUAUUGAAGCUUCGGCAGAUUUAGCUGGUUUCUAGUGGCGGACGGGUGAGUAACGCGUGGGUAACCUGCCUUAUACAGGGGGAUAACAACCUGAAAUGGUUGCUAAUACCGCAUAAGCGCACAGGACCGCAUGGUCCGGUGUGAAAAACUCCGGUGGUAUAAGAUGGACCCGCGUUGGAUUAGCUAGUUGGCAGGGUAACGGCCUACCAAGGCGACGAUCCAUAGCCGGCCUGAGAGGGUGAACGGCCACAUUGGGACUGAGACACGGCCCAGACUCCUACGGGAGGCAGCAGUGGGGAAUAUUGCACAAUGGGGGAAACCCUGAUGCAGCGACGCCGCGUGAAGGAAGAAGUAUCUCGGUAUGUAAACUUCUAUCAGCAGGGAAGAUAGUGACGGUACCUGACUAAGAAGCCCCGGCUAACUACGUG
This 478-nucleotide ribosomal RNA is filed under the name uncultured bacterium. Its description in RNAcentral is "partial 16S ribosomal RNA". It matches the Rfam family "Bacterial small subunit ribosomal RNA", at positions 28 to 507 of the family's 1533-position model. The record is from RNAcentral.